Molecule: transfer RNA, 82 nt
Filed under: Brevundimonas sp.
Lineage: Bacteria; Pseudomonadati; Pseudomonadota; Alphaproteobacteria; Caulobacterales; Caulobacteraceae
Description: tRNA-Leu
Rfam family: tRNA
About the family: Transfer RNA (tRNA) molecules are approximately 80 nucleotides in length.
Source: RNAcentral
GCGGCUAUGGCGAAUUGGUAGACGCACUUGGUUUAGGUCCAAGCGGGUGACCGUGGGGGUUCGAGUCCCUCUAGCCGCACCA